CCUACGGGUGGCUGCAGUGGGGGAUAUUGCACAAUGGGGGGAACCCUGAUGCAGCGACGCCGCGUGGGUGAAGGAGCGUUUCGGCGCGUAAAGCCCUAUCGGCAGGGAAGAAGAUGACGGUACCUGACCAAGAAGCCCCGGCUAACUACGUGCCAGCAGCCGCGGGAAUACGUAGGGGGCAAGCGUUAUCCGGAUUUACUGGGUGUACAGGGGGCGCAGACGGCAAUGCAAGCCAGGAGUGAAAGCCCGGGGCCCAACCCCGGGACUGCUCUUGGAACUGCAUGGCUGGAGUACAGGAGGGGCAGGCGGAAUGCCUAGUGUAGCGGUGAAAUGCGUAGAUAUUAGGAGGAACACCAGUGGCGAAGGCGGCCUGCUGGGCUUUUACUGACGCUGAGGCUCGAAAGUGUGGGGAGCAAACAGGAUUAGAUACCCGAGUAGUC
RNAcentral lists this ribosomal RNA (440 nucleotides) under uncultured bacterium. Its description in RNAcentral is "partial 16S ribosomal RNA". It matches the Rfam family "Bacterial small subunit ribosomal RNA", at positions 338 to 795 of the family's 1533-position model. The record is from RNAcentral.